Molecule: microRNA precursor, 76 nt
Organism: Mustela putorius furo (domestic ferret)
Lineage: Eukaryota; Metazoa; Chordata; Mammalia; Carnivora; Mustelidae
Source: Ensembl
GGUCCUGGUCCUGGUCCUGGUCCUGCUCCUGCUCCUGCUCCUGGUCCUGGUCCUGGUCCUGCUCCUGGUCCUGGUC